GACGAACGCUGGCGGCGCGCUUAACACAUGCAAGUCGAGCGAUGAAACUUUAACAGCCCCCUUCGGGGCGAAGAUAAAGUGGAUUAGCGGCGGACGGGUGAGUAACACGUGAGUAGCCUGCCUUAAAAUUGGGGAUAGCUCGGGGAAACCGGGAUUAUUACCAAUAAAAUCAUUAUUGCACAUUGUCAUAAGGUCAAAAACCCCGUGGGGCUAAGAUGGAUUUGGGUCCCAUUAGUUAGUUGGUAGGGUAAAAGCUUACCAAGGCGACGAUGGGUAGCCGGCCUGAGGAGGGGAACGGCCACAUUGGAACUGAGAAACGGUCCAAACUCCUACGGGGGGCAGCAGUGGGGAAUAUUGCACAAUGGAGGGAACUCUGAUGCAGCGACGCCGCGUGAACGAAGAAGGCUUUCGAGUCGUAAAGUUCUUUUAUAUGGGAAGAUAAUGACGGUACCAGAAGAAAAAGCCCCGGCUAACUACGUG
RNAcentral lists this ribosomal RNA (480 nucleotides) under uncultured bacterium. RNAcentral describes it as "partial 16S ribosomal RNA". It matches the Rfam family "Bacterial small subunit ribosomal RNA", at positions 28 to 507 of the family's 1533-position model. The record is from RNAcentral.